GGGGAUGACAAGGCCUCGACGUGAAGAAUACGCACUUUUAUAAAUGGCAGGGGCGCACCUAUGCGUCAAAUGGAAAACAAUAACUGCAAACGUCAAAGACGCAACUGCAGAACUUCGAGCACUUGCAAUGGACAUGCUUGGACUUAAUGCUCCUCAAAGAGCAUUUGCCACUGUCUAACGACAAAGACUCUUAGUUUUCUCUUUGAGUGACCUCCGAUAGCUCAUUGAGGUACAACCUUCGGGGUACAGCCGCAGAAAGUUACCAAUCUUGAUGCGGCUCGAAAAGUUAAAAAUUGGCAGCCUGACGGUGGUUUGCAUAUCUCCCGCACCGGGCUUGAGGAAAAAAUAUGCUAUCUCCUGCAAAACAUUUUUAAAAAUGCCUUUACGGACCCGGGUUCGACUCCCGGCAUCUCCACAA
RNAcentral lists this transfer-messenger RNA (418 nucleotides) under Patescibacteria group. RNAcentral describes it as "UBA1450 sp016700135 Standard tmRNA". It matches the Rfam family "transfer-messenger RNA". From Rfam's summary of the family: Bacterial tmRNA, also known as 10Sa RNA or SsrA, is named for its dual tRNA and mRNA-like properties. Its role is to liberate the mRNA from a stalled ribosome. The record is from RNAcentral. RNAcentral also lists the same sequence under 1 other name.